RNAcentral lists this ribosomal RNA (285 nucleotides) under uncultured bacterium. RNAcentral describes it as "partial 16S ribosomal RNA". It matches the Rfam family "Bacterial small subunit ribosomal RNA", at positions 335 to 634 of the family's 1533-position model. The record is from RNAcentral.
GUGCCUACGGGACGCAGCAGUGGGGAAUAUUGGGCAAUGGGCGCAAGCCUGACCCAGCAACGCCGCGUGAAGGAAGAAGGCUUUCGGGUUGUAAACUUCUUUUACCAGGGACGAAGAAAGUGACGGUACCUGGAGAAUAAGCCACGGCUAACUACGUGCCAGCAGCCGCGGUAAUACGUAGGUGGCAAGCGUUGUCCGGAUUUACUGGGUGUAAAGGGCGUGUAGCCGGGCUGACAAGUCAGAUGUGAAAUCCGGGGGCUCAACCCCCGAACUGCAUUUGCAACU